This is a long non-coding RNA of Medicago truncatula (barrel medic), 555 nucleotides long. RefSeq lists it as uncharacterized. The record is from RefSeq and is a predicted model, not a curated record. The transcript is spliced from 2 exons. Lineage: Eukaryota; Viridiplantae; Streptophyta; Magnoliopsida; Fabales; Fabaceae.
UUCACCUAAUAACUCUCCAAGGAAAAAAAUCAGCGUGUACAUUCUCUCCCUCUCUCAACAUAGCCCACACCUUUGAUUCUUCAUUAACCUUCUUGAAUGUUCUCUACUUCUCUGCCUCUCUCUGUUUUUUCACAUUAUCUUUUCAAAAGAGUUACUGCAAAACCCAAGUUAACAGAUCAUCCAAGAGUUGCUGCUAAUAUCAUCAAUAGAAGGAGAAAAUUUGUUUGUUCAACCAUAUAAACAUUCGAUGAGAAGAUGUGGCGUGUAUUUAUACACGUUCCAGACUGGUGUGGCACCAACAUGCCUUCAAAAUUAUAGGUAUCUCAACCAAGAAUAUGCAUAAAGGAAUUGGAAGCGCUAAACACUUCAACAGACAAGAAAGUACACUUUAUGGCAUAUGUUGAUGGAAGUGGUAGAGAUUUGAUGAUCGUUAAAACAGCUUUAGGGGACUUAUGUUGAUAUUUACUAUGACAAAGAUUUGUAGUAUAACAAUUUGUGAAAAGUUGUAAUGAGUAUUGUAAUUGGUAGUGUUGGCACAAUUAUGCCGUCUCCAUA